This 474-nucleotide ribosomal RNA is filed under the name Cryptosporidium sp. shrew genotype II. RNAcentral describes it as "SSU rRNA". It matches the Rfam family "Eukaryotic small subunit ribosomal RNA", at positions 514 to 1024 of the family's 1831-position model. The record is from RNAcentral. Lineage: Eukaryota; Apicomplexa; Conoidasida; Eucoccidiorida; Cryptosporidiidae.
AUGAGUUAAGUAUAAACCCCUUAACAAGUAUCAAUUGGAGGGCAAGUCUGGUGCCAGCAGCCGCGGUAAUUCCAGCUCCAAUAGCGUAUAUUAAAGUUGUUGCAGUUAAAAAGCUCGUAGUUGGAUUUCUGUUAAUACUUGCAUGUGCUAUCAUCGAUACGCGUGUAAUAUUAGCAUCAUCCGCGUCACCUUCGGUGUGCGGAACUUUACUUUGAGAAAAUUAGAGUGCUUAAAGCAGGCUUUUGCCUUGAAUACUCCAGCAUGGAAUAAUAUGAAGGAUUUUUAUCUUUCUUAUUGGUUCUAAGAUAAAAAUAAUGGUUAAUAGGGACAGUUGGGGGCAUUUGUAUUUAACAGUCAGAGGUGAAAUUCUUAGAUUUGUUAAAGACAAACUAGUGCGAAAGCAUUUGCCAAGGAUGUUCUCAUUAAUCAAGAACGAAAGUUAGGGGAUCGAAGACGAUCAGAUACCGUCGUAGU